GAUGAACGCUGGCGGCGUGCCUAAUACAUGCAAGUCGAGCGAACGGACGAGAAGCUUGCUUCUCUGAUGUUAGCGGCGGACGGGUGAGUAACACGUGGAUAACCUACCUAUAAGACUGGGAUAACUUCGGGAAACCGGAGCUAAUACCGGAUAAUAUUUUGAACCGCAUGGUUCAAAAGUGAAAGACGGUCUUGCUGUCACUUAUAGAUGGAUCCGCGCUGCAUUAGCUAGUUGGUAAGGUAACGGCUUACCAAGGCAACGAUGCAUAGCCGACCUGAGAGGGUGAUCAGCCACACUGGAACUGAGACACGGUCCAGACUCCUACGGGAGGCAGCAGUAGGGAAUCUUCCGCAAUGGGCGAAAGCCUGACGGAGCCACGCCGCGUGAGUGAUGAAGGUCUUCGGAUCGUAAAUCUCUGUUAUUAGGGAAGAACAUAUGUGUAAGUAACUGUGCACAUCUUGACGGUACCUAAUCAGAAAGCCACGGCUAACUACGUG
Molecule: ribosomal RNA, 497 nt
Filed under: uncultured bacterium
Lineage: Bacteria
Description: partial 16S ribosomal RNA
Rfam family: Bacterial small subunit ribosomal RNA
Source: RNAcentral